AAGAAGUUGAGUGGAACAGUCUGCUCUGGUGCGGCUGCAGCUCGUCAUGAAGCACAACUGAUCCUCCUUUUCUUCUUCCGUGCCUUCGAGAUUCCUCCUGGGCUUCACCAGAGCCUCUGGUGGUCUGGGUGGCUGGUGUGCCGAGUGCCCCAGACCUCCACUUUCCGGGCUGUGGAUGCUGCAUUUGUUCAUUCAGUAUCAAAACCAGGCAGGACAUUGUUCUGGUCCCUGCGCGUGGUACCAGCCUGCUUCCUUCCUGGUGAUCACUCUUGCCUGCUGAUUCCUUGGCAGAAGGAACGUCUGAUACCUGACGCCUGCUAGUGCAUUUCCUUCCCCUGGUAGAACACUCCAUUUCCUCCCAGUAAAUUAUUUUGCGGUCUUAGAGCUUCCCUGUGUCGGAGGCUGCCUCUGCUCCUCUUCUACUGGAGAUGGGUCCUCACUAUUACACCGGGCGACUGGACAAGCGCUUUGGGGCCCACGUUUAUGGGCAGAAUGAAGCAGGACUAGGCAGAGAGAGAAAUCGGGCUGCCGUGGACCCCGGCGUGCUGUGUCUCAAACCGGCACUGAUCAGUAACUGUGCUGGUGGCUGGCGUGGAUCCUUGCUUCAGUGAUAACGGAAAUUAAAACUGAGGCAACAGCAUGAAUUCACAGGAAGAGUUUUAAUUAAAGAAUAAGAGAAAAUGGGGCGGGACUUCAGGUUGAGGAGAAGGAAAGCUGAAGAGGACACAGCUCUGAUGGACAGGAGUAGGCUGGCUUGUUAACAAAUCGGGAAGGCGCUGCAGCUGGAGCAGAAAGCUAACAGGGCCACAACUCUGACGGGGAUCGGUCCGGUCCAUUAACAGCACUCACACUCAGGGUGGGGCACCGUGAAUCAGUCCCAGCAUCGCACACUCUGGAUCCGGCCCCGUCCGUGAAGCCCCACCUAUGACCGCAUGAGGCUUUGGGGAGACAUCUAGGUUCAGCCAGAGCACUUGAGCUGAACAUGGAUCUGAUGCAAAGUUGUAAGGUAAUGGAGACAGACACAGAACGAAGGCAGAGCUAUCGAGCUUUAUCCUGUUGGUUACCCAGCGGACAUCUGUAGCCCAGAGUCACUGUUUUAGCAAAAGCAGCUUUUAAGACCCUGACUGCCCCGGAGAGAAACACAGAGCAUUCUUUUAAUGAGUAACAGAAUUCAUUUUCAACGAUUUACGCUGUAGUCCCUGAAAUCGUCCGCUUCGUCCGCUUUGGAAACGCAAGCCCCGGGAGGGUGCAGCCCUCUUUGGCCUCGCCGGCCGCGCUGUCCCCAGCAUCACCACCAACCGCGGCUCGGCUUCCAGCCACCCGCGCCUCCUCGGCAGCGCACCCAUGGGAAGGGGCGCGGCGGCCAGGCAGGGCGCGCGGGCGAGCCUUUCACACUGCCCUUCCCUGCGGGGCGCUGCGGGCUUCCAAGCCGGCUCCCGUCCCUGAGACGCUGCUCCGCGCUUCUGGCCCCGUCCCGCGUCGGUGUUUCGUCGGGAGUGAGUGAGACCCCGGCGCGCCGCGCAGGCCGCUGCCCGCAGAGGCCCGGCUCUCACGCCGCGCUUUCACGCCUGCGCGGGGCGCCGUC
Molecule: long non-coding RNA, 1585 nt
Organism: Chinchilla lanigera (long-tailed chinchilla)
Lineage: Eukaryota; Metazoa; Chordata; Mammalia; Rodentia; Chinchillidae
Exons: 4
Source: RefSeq, a predicted model, not a curated record